RNAcentral lists this ribosomal RNA (987 nucleotides) under Salmonella enterica subsp. enterica serovar Goldcoast. Its description in RNAcentral is "partial 23S ribosomal RNA". It matches the Rfam family "Bacterial large subunit ribosomal RNA", at positions 225 to 1251 of the family's 2925-position model. Lineage: Bacteria; Pseudomonadati; Pseudomonadota; Gammaproteobacteria; Enterobacterales; Enterobacteriaceae. The record is from RNAcentral.
UCAACCGAGAUUCCCCCAGUAGCGGCGAGCGAACGGGGAGGAGCCCAGAGCCUGAAUCAGCAUGUGUGUUAGUGGAAGCGUCUGGAAAGGCGCGCGAUACAGGGUGACAGCCCCGUACACAAAAGCGCAUGUGCUGUGAGCUCGAUGAGUAGGGCGGGACACGUGGUAUCCUGUCUGAAUAUGGGGGGACCAUCCUCCAAGGCUAAAUACUCCUGACUGACCGAUAGUGAACCAGUACCGUGAGGGAAAGGCGAAAAGAACCCCGGCGAGGGGAGUGAAAAAGAACCUGAAACCGUGUACGUACAAGCAGUGGGAGCACCCUUUGGGGUGUGACUGCGUACCUUUUGUAUAAUGGGUCAGCGACUUAUAUUCUGUAGCAAGGUUAACCGCAUAGGGGAGCCGGAGGGAAACCGAGUCUUAAUUGGGCGUUAAGUUGCAGGGUAUAGACCCGAAACCCGGUGAUCUAGCCAUGGGCAGGUUGAAGGUUGGGUAACACUAACUGGAGGACCGAACCGACUAAUGUUGAAAAAUUAGCGGAUGACCUGUGGCUGGGGGUGAAAGGCCAAUCAAACCGGGAGAUAGCUGGUUCUCCCCGAAAGCUAUUUAGGUAGCGCCUCGUGAAUUCAUCUCCGGGGGUAGAGCACUGUUUCGGCUAGGGGGCCAUCCCGGCUUACCAACCCGAUGCAAACUGCGAAUACCGGAGAAUGUUAUCACGGGAGACACACGGCGGGUGCUAACGUCCGUCGUGAAGAGGGAAACAACCCAGACCGCCAGCUAAGGUCCCAAAGUCAUGGUUAAGUGGGAAACGAUGUGGGAAGGCCCAGACAGCCAGGAUGUUGGCUUAGAAGCAGCCAUCAUUUAAAGAAAGCGUAAUAGCUCACUGGUCGAGUCGGCCUGCGCGGAAGAUGUAACGGGGCUAAACCAUGCACCGAAGCUGCGGCAGCGACGCUUAUGCGUUGUUGGGUAGGGGAGCGUUCUGUAAGCCUG